This 469-nucleotide unclassified non-coding RNA is filed under the name Candida albicans. RNAcentral describes it as "sequence contains 18S rRNA gene, ITS1, 5.8S rRNA gene, ITS2, 28S rRNA gene". The stretch from base 148 to 301 matches the Rfam family "5.8S ribosomal RNA". The record is from RNAcentral. Lineage: Eukaryota; Fungi; Ascomycota; Pichiomycetes; Serinales; Debaryomycetaceae.
GAUCAUUACUGAUUUGCUUAAUUGCACCACAUGUGUUUUUCUUUGAAACAAACUUGCUUUGGCGGUGGGCCCAGCCUGCCGCCAGAGGUCUAAACUUACAACCAAUUUUUUAUCAACUUGUCACACCAGAUUAUUACUAAUAGUCAAAACUUUCAACAACGGAUCUCUUGGUUCUCGCAUCGAUGAAGAACGCAGCGAAAUGCGAUACGUAAUAUGAAUUGCAGAUAUUCGUGAAUCAUCGAAUCUUUGAACGCACAUUGCGCCCUCUGGUAUUCCGGAGGGCAUGCCUGUUUGAGCGUCGUUUCUCCCUCAAACCGCUGGGUUUGGUGUUGAGCAAUACGACUUGGGUUUGCUUGAAAGACGGUAGUGGUAAGGCGGGAUCGCUUUGACAAUGGCUUAGGUCUAACCAAAAACAUUGCUUGCGGCGGUAACGUCUACCACGUAUAUCUUCAAACUUUGACCUCAAAUC